AAGUCCCUUCAUGUGUCAUGUGUUCAUGUAUCAAUAACUAACUCUGAUAUUCCCUUUUGAGCAUGAAGCUGACAAACAAUCAUGAUUUUAUCAUGCGUUUUCUGUCAUUGAUGAUCGUUCAGAACAUUGAUGAAGCGAAUAUGCUCUGAGUGGU
RNAcentral lists this small nucleolar RNA (154 nucleotides) under Oreochromis aureus. Its description in RNAcentral is "Small nucleolar RNA U3". The stretch from base 28 to 154 matches the Rfam family "Small nucleolar RNA U3", at positions 67 to 219 of the family's 219-position model. Rfam says of the family: Small nucleolar RNAs (snoRNAs) are involved in the processing and modification of rRNA in the nucleolus. There are two main classes of snoRNAs: the box C/D class, and the box H/ACA class. Lineage: Eukaryota; Metazoa; Chordata; Actinopteri; Cichliformes; Cichlidae. The record is from Rfam by way of RNAcentral.